AGAGUUUGAUCAUGGCUCAGAACGAACGCUGGCGGCGAGCUUCAUACAUGCAAGUCGAGCGCGUGUAGCAAUACACGAGCGGCGAACGGGUGAGUAACGGGUGGAUAACCUACCUCUCCGGUGGGGAAUAACGGCGGGAAACUGCCGCUAAUACCGCAUACGGUUGCUGGUCCUCGGACUGGUAAAGAAAGGGGCUUUACAGCCUCGCCGGGAGAUGGGUCCGCCUCCGAUUAGCUAGUUGGUGGGGUAAUGGCCUACCAAGGCAUCGAUCGGUAGCCGAACUAAGAGGUUGAUCGGCCACACUGGAACUGAGACACGGUCCAGACACCUACGGGUGGCAGCAGUAGGGAAUCUUGCGCAAUGGGCGAAAGCUUGACGCAGCUACGCCGCGUGGAUGAUGAAGGCCUUCGGGUCGUAAAGUCCUUUUCUGAAGGAAGAACGGCCUCGUGAGGAAAUGCACGGGGUAUGACGGUAC
RNAcentral lists this ribosomal RNA (475 nucleotides) under uncultured Geothermobacter sp. Its description in RNAcentral is "bacterial SSU rRNA". It matches the Rfam family "Bacterial small subunit ribosomal RNA", at positions 8 to 478 of the family's 1533-position model. Lineage: Bacteria; Pseudomonadati; Thermodesulfobacteriota; Desulfuromonadia; Desulfuromonadales; Geothermobacteraceae. The record is from RNAcentral.